UAGGGAAUCUUCGGCAAUGGACGAAAGUCUGACCGAGCAACGCCGCGUGAGUGAAGAAGGGUUUCGGAUCGUAAAACUCUGUUGGUAGAGAAGAACGUUGGUGAGAGUGGAAAGCUCAUCAAGUGACGGUAACUACCCAGAAAGGGACGGCUAACUACGUGCCGG
This 165-nucleotide ribosomal RNA is filed under the name uncultured bacterium. Its description in RNAcentral is "partial 16S rRNA". It matches the Rfam family "Bacterial small subunit ribosomal RNA", at positions 355 to 511 of the family's 1533-position model. The record is from RNAcentral.